GAUCUUUAUUUUUAUUGUUUAUAAACUAAAAAGAAUUUUAAAAUUUAUAUUUUUUAUGAAAAUUUUAUUGGGGUGAUAUUAAAAUUUAAAAAACUUUUAAAAUUAAUUAACAUAAAUAUAUGAAUUAUUGAUCCAAUUUUAUUGAUUAAAAAUUUAAGUUACCUUAGGGAUAACAGCGUAAUUUUUUUUUAGAGUUCAUAUCGACAAAAAAGAUUGC
This 217-nucleotide ribosomal RNA is filed under the name Culex ocellatus. Its description in RNAcentral is "partial 16S ribosomal RNA". Lineage: Eukaryota; Metazoa; Arthropoda; Insecta; Diptera; Culicidae. The record is from RNAcentral.